GACGAACGCUGGCGGCGUGCUUAACACAUGCAAGUCGAACGCUGAAGCUUGGUGCUUGCACUGGGUGGAUGAGUGGCGAACGGGUGUGUAAUACGUGAGUAACCUGCCCUUGACUCUGGGAUAAGCCUGGGAAACUGGGUCUAAUACUGGAUACGACAUGUCACCGCAUGGUGGUGUGUGGAAAGGGUUUUACUGGUUUUGGAUGGGCUCACGGCCUAUCAGCUUGUUGGUGGGGUAAUGGCUCACCAAGGCGACGACGGGUAGCCGGCCUGAGAGGGUGACCGGCCACACUGGGACUGAGACACGGCCCAGACUCCUACGGGAGGCAGCAGUGGGGAAUAUUGCACAAUGGGCGGAAGCCUGAUGCAGCGACGCCGCGUGAGGGAUGACGGCCUUCGGGUUGUAAACCUCUUUCAGCACGGAAGAAGCGAAAGUGACGGUACGUGCAGAAGAAGCGCCGGCUAACUACGUG
This 472-nucleotide ribosomal RNA is filed under the name uncultured bacterium. Its description in RNAcentral is "partial 16S ribosomal RNA". It matches the Rfam family "Bacterial small subunit ribosomal RNA", at positions 28 to 507 of the family's 1533-position model. The record is from RNAcentral.